This is a long non-coding RNA of Apis laboriosa (Himalayan honeybee), 410 nucleotides long. RefSeq lists it as uncharacterized. The transcript is spliced from 3 exons. Lineage: Eukaryota; Metazoa; Arthropoda; Insecta; Hymenoptera; Apidae. The record is from RefSeq and is a predicted model, not a curated record.
UAUAAUUGUUAUUAUUAUACUUUAUUAUAUAUUUUUCUUUUAAAACAAAAAUUAUUAUAAAAUAUUUAUCUUAUUAUUAAAUUUUAAAAUAAAAAUAUUUUAGAUUGUUGAUAUAUUUUAACACGAAUUAUUGUUUACUCAAAUCAUUUCAAAGAAAGGUUAGGCUAAGAAGUGGUUCUCUGAAAAUUUUAAUAUCGUUAUAUGAAAGGUUGGAAACAUUUCCACAAUCUUAAAGUUUCAUCAGCUCCUGCACUAAGAAUGGUAGUACCAUCUGGAGACAUCGCUAAGUGUAAAACACGACUAGAAUGGCCUACCAAAGCAAAGAACACACCUGUGAUUUGGUAUCUACCAUAUUUAAACAUACACCUAUUGUAUAAAUAUUAAAUAAUAAAAAAAAUUUUUUCAUGAAA